CAGUAGCCGCGGUAAUACGGAGGGGGCUAGCGUUGUUCGGAAUUACUGGGCGUAAAGCGCACGUAGGCGGCUUUGUAAGUCAGAGGUGAAAGCCUGGAGCUCAACUCCAGAAUUGCCUUUGAGACUGCAUCGCUUGAACGUCGGAGAGGUGAGUGGAAUUCCGAGUGUAGAGGUGAAAUUCGUAGAUAUUCGGAAGAACACCAGUGGCGAAGGCGGCUCACUGGACGACUGUUGACGCUGAGGUGCGAAAGCGUGGGGAGCAAACAGGAUUAGAGACCCCAGUAGUCCCUGUCUCUUAUAC
RNAcentral lists this ribosomal RNA (301 nucleotides) under uncultured bacterium. RNAcentral describes it as "partial 16S ribosomal RNA". It matches the Rfam family "Bacterial small subunit ribosomal RNA", at positions 509 to 807 of the family's 1533-position model. The record is from RNAcentral.